RNAcentral lists this ribosomal RNA (448 nucleotides) under uncultured bacterium. RNAcentral describes it as "bacterial SSU rRNA". It matches the Rfam family "Bacterial small subunit ribosomal RNA", at positions 331 to 793 of the family's 1533-position model. The record is from RNAcentral.
CCAGACUCCUACGGGAGGCAGCAGUGGGGAAUAUUGGGCAAUGGGCGCAAGCCUGACCCAGCAACGCCGCGUGAGGGAAGAAGGCUUUCGGGUUGUAAACUUCUUUUGACAGGGAAGAGCAGAAGACGGUACCUGUCGAAUAAGCCACGGCUAACUACGUGCCAGCAGCCGCGGUAAUACGUAGGUGGCAAGCGUUGUCCGGAUUUACUGGGUGUAAAGGGCGUGCAGCCGGGCUGACAAGUCAGAUGUGAAAUCCCGCGGCUCAACCGCGGAACUGCAUUUGAAACUGUCAGUCUUGAGUACCGGAGAGGUCAUCGGAAUUCCUUGUGUAGCGGUGAAAUGCGUAGAUAUUAGGAGGAACACCAGUGGCGAAGGCGGCCUGCUGGACGAUGACUGACGUUGAGGCUCGAAAGCGUGGGGAGCAAACAGGAUUAGAUACCCCGGUACG